CUAUGCGCCUUGCCAGCCCGCUCAGGUGUGCCAGCAGCCGCGGUAAUACGUAGGGGGCAAGCGUUAUCCGGAUUUACUGGGUGUAAAGGGAGCGUAGACGGCCAGACAAGUCUGAAGUGAAAAUCCAGCGCUUAACGUUGGAAGUGCUUUGGAAACUGCCGGGCUGGAGUGCAGGAGGGGCAGGCGGAAUCCCUAGUGUAGCGGUGAAAUGCGUAGAUAUUAGGAGGAACACCAGUGGCGAAGGCGGCUUACUGGACUGUAACUGACGUUGAGGCUCGAAAGCGUGGGGAGCAAACAGG
RNAcentral lists this ribosomal RNA (299 nucleotides) under uncultured bacterium. RNAcentral's name for it is "partial 16S ribosomal RNA". It matches the Rfam family "Bacterial small subunit ribosomal RNA", at positions 475 to 776 of the family's 1533-position model. The record is from RNAcentral.